AGAGUUUGAUCCUGGCUCAGGAUGAACGCUAGCGACAGGCCUAACACAUGCAAGUCGAGGGGCGAGCGGAGAGGUAGCAAUACCUUUGCCGGCGACCGGCGCACGGGUGAGUAACACGUAUGCAAUCCACCUGUAACAGGGGGAUAACCCGGAGAAAGUCCGGACUAAUACCCCAUAAUAUGGGCGCUCCGCAUGGAGAGCCCAUUAAAGAGAGCAAUUUUGGUUACAGACGAGCAUGCGCUCCAUUAG
Molecule: ribosomal RNA, 249 nt
Filed under: uncultured bacterium
Lineage: Bacteria
Description: partial 16S ribosomal RNA
Rfam family: Bacterial small subunit ribosomal RNA
Source: RNAcentral